AUGAGCCAUACAAUGAAGCUAUGGGAGAGAGUCAUUGAGCACCGCUUAAGAAGAAUGACAAGCGUGACCAAAAAUCAGUUUGGUUUCAUGCCUGGGAGGUCGACCAUGGAAGCCAUUUUCUUGGUACGACAACUUAUGGAGAGAUAUAGGGAGCAAAAGAAGGACUUGCAUAUGGUGUUCAUUGACUUGGAGAAGGCCUAUGAUAAGAUACUGCGGAAUGUCAUGUGGUGGGCCUUGGAGAAACACAAAGUCCCAGCAAAGUACAUUACCCUCAUCAAGGACAUGUACAAUAAUGUUGUGACAAGUGUUUGA
RNAcentral lists this ribosomal RNA (312 nucleotides) under Triticum aestivum (bread wheat). RNAcentral's name for it is "partial small subunit ribosomal RNA". Lineage: Eukaryota; Viridiplantae; Streptophyta; Magnoliopsida; Poales; Poaceae. The record is from RNAcentral.